CUUUCGGCAGACCGUCGCCCCGCUGCUCAGUCGGCGCUGAGCUCUCGUCGGGGCUGACCUGUUGGCGGGGCUGUGCUCACGGCCGCACCCUCUCCUCGGCUGUGCCGUCCUCUCGGCCGCGCCAGCCCCGCACCGAGCUCCACAGCCUGCGCUCCUCAGGCCCCCACCCAGCGCUGCGGGCGCGGUCCGACCAGGCGGCGCGGGACGGGUGACCGCCGGCGCACCGAGUUGGAGUUUUUGAGGAACUUGACAAACAUAUUCUAAAAUGUAUGUGAAAGGAAAA
Non-coding RNA from Leptonychotes weddellii (Weddell seal), 283 nucleotides. Lineage: Eukaryota; Metazoa; Chordata; Mammalia; Carnivora; Phocidae. The record is from RefSeq and is a predicted model, not a curated record.